UACAGAGGGGGCAAGCGUUGUUCGGAAUUACUGGGCGUAAAGCGCGCGUAGGCGGCUUUGUAAGUUAGAGGUGAAAGCCCGGAGCUCAACUCCGGAACUGCCUUUAAGACUGCAUCGCUAGAAUUGUGGAGAGGUGAGUGGAAUUCCGAGUGUAGAGGUGAAAUUCGUAGAUAUUCGGAAGAACACCAGUGGCGAAGGCGACUCACUGGACACAUAUUGACGCUGAGGUGCGAAAGCGUGGGGAGCAAACAGG
This 253-nucleotide ribosomal RNA is filed under the name uncultured bacterium. Its description in RNAcentral is "partial 16S ribosomal RNA". It matches the Rfam family "Bacterial small subunit ribosomal RNA", at positions 524 to 776 of the family's 1533-position model. The record is from RNAcentral.